Molecule: long non-coding RNA, 1743 nt
Organism: Lycium barbarum (goji berry)
Lineage: Eukaryota; Viridiplantae; Streptophyta; Magnoliopsida; Solanales; Solanaceae
Exons: 3
Source: RefSeq, a predicted model, not a curated record
UUUUGGUUUCUAAACAUCUAAUCAAUGGAUAAUUAGUUCCUAAGCUUCAAAUCCUUCUUUUACUCAAGAAUCUUGACAUGGAAAUUUGAGGGGUUUUCUCUAAAAUUGGGGGUUUUCGAUUAUUGAUUAAAUUAAUGCUUAUUUGGGUUUGGAUUGAUAUGAAACUUGGUAUUUGGAAUUUUUUUUUUAAUUAAUUUGCCCAAUUGGGCUUUUAUUAAUAAAUAAAUGUAAAAACGUAACAUGUCCUAUAGGCCCAAUUAAAACACCCAUUCCAAAGUCUAAAAUACAAAAUAAAAUAAAACAAAUAAAAGCAAAAAAGAGAUAAAAAAAUUGGAAGAUUGAAUUAGGCAACUCAUGACAUUCAUUUCGACCUAAGUUGCCUUUGUCUCUCUAGCUCUAGCUUCUCUCUAAAGUUGCCGCCGUUCCGAUGGGCUUUCUGACAUCGUAAGUAUGAUGAAAGCCUCGUCUGGUGUUCUUCCAUACCCGUUGAGGUUCUAACUCACCUCCUCUUCUUUGAAAGUUGAAGAUUGGCCUCCAUUAAGCUCAGGUAUGUUUCCAAAAAUCUGCUCUUCUGAUUUUAUGUCCUUUUCAGCUUCUAACUCCUGCUUUCUUGUUCGGUAUGAGUGGAAUUUGACUGCAUUUCCAAGAUCUGUGGCUUUUCUUUUCUUCAUCAUCUGAGCUCCAACAUACCUUCAUCUAAGUAAAAAGGUUCUAUAGGCUUCUCCUGUUCAGUGUCCCAUUUAACACUGGUGUCUUGCUCCUUUUCUCUAUUUGGACUGUCCUGCUGAUGUUCCCUUUCUUCAACUUGUAUCCCUGAUAUGCUGCUAACUACUGUAUCCCCUGUUUCUUUGGUUCCACCUUCUGGAAAAUACUGAAGGACUUCAACAAGUCCAUUGGACGAGCUUUGAAAAGAAGACAGUUGGCCCAUUGAUUCAUACAACCCAAUAAAGCUGUAGUAGAGACAACCAGCCCAAAACAAAAGAAGUCCUCACCAAGUAAAAUAUUCAACAAAAAACUGUACUCUACGGAAGGAAGAUCUCGGCGUGCCUACACUAAAUGCAGUCAAUCAAUGAAUCUUUUAUUUAAGGAAGCAUGUACCAAGGAACUACAUCAAGGAGAAGAAUUUAAGGAAGCAAUCAACUAAAGAUCCUAAAUCAGUAUCAAUCGAAGAUCCUAACACAAGGAAAGCUGGAAACUACAACUGGAGAUUCUAUUGAAAGUUGUCCACAAGGAAAGCUGCUUAGAAGACUUGAAGAUAUGAAAGUCAAUCAACAUUGAAUGCUCUUGCUUUAUUCUUGGAAAAUCAGGAUCCUCAAUAUUUCUACUUUCCAAGGAUCAAUUCUUGGGUUGCCUUCUCUGCUUGAAGAGCCAAACCGCUAUAUUCUGAAGAAUAUAAAUAGAGGCUUAAGCAAACGAAUACAUUUGUACUUCGUCUCAACCUUCUCACUGUCUUUGCUCUACAUUUCAUAAGCAUUAUAUUUUUGAGUGAUUUACUGUGUAAACAAAAAAAGAGGAGGGAUAUAAUUAUAGUUAGUGAGGCAUUUUAUCAAAAGAUUACAAGAGUCUAAGUGUUGACGUAGGAGCUUCAUCCAAACGAACAAUUGUACCAAACACCUUUACAAAAGAGCUGCAGAGAACACCCUUGCAACCCAACGGGACUGGACUAGGUUCCACAUUGGAUCCGAACCAGUAUAAAACAUUUGGUGUCAUUUACUUUUUGGAAAUAUACUUUCAACACUGCUA